Molecule: ribosomal RNA, 443 nt
Filed under: uncultured bacterium
Lineage: Bacteria
Description: partial 16S ribosomal RNA
Rfam family: Bacterial small subunit ribosomal RNA
Source: RNAcentral
CCUACGGGAGGCAGCAGUGGGGAAUAUUGGGCAAUGGGCGCAAGCCUGACCCAGCAACGCCGCGUGAAGGAAGAAGGCUUUCGGGUUGUAAACCUCUUUUGACAGGGACGAAACAAGUGACGGUACCUGACUAAUAAGCCACGGCUAACUACGUGCCAGCAGCCGCGGGAAUACGUAGGUGGCAAGCGUUAUCCGGAUUUACUGGGUGUAAAGGGCGCGUAGGCGGGAUUGCAAGUCAGAUGUGAAAGCCAGGGGCUCAACCUUUGGCCUGCAAUUGAUACUGUAGUUCUUGAGUACAGGAGAGGCAGGCGGAAUUCCUGGUGUAGCGGUGAAAUGCGUAGAUAUUAGGAGGAACACCAGUGGCGAAGGCGGCCUGCUGGACUGCAACUGACGCUGAGGCGCGAAAGCGUGGGGAGCAAACAGGAUUAGAUACCCGGGUAGUC